CCCUCUUCCCUCGCCGCCUCCUGGCCUUCGCACCGACGCGGCCCGGGCUGGAGCCGAGCCGGGGCCGAGCUGCAGGCCGAUCCGGAGCCGGAUCCGUACCCGCAGAGACGUGGAAACAUGGAGGCCUGAGCCGGUGUGCGCCACCUGGGGCUGCGGCGGCGACAGCGACUUCUCCUGACCCCUCUGCCACCCGCCCGUCCGUCCGCCGGUCUGUGGAACUGGAGCUGAUCCCCCCGCCGGCUGAGACAGGCUGUCUUUUGGAAAUGCAGGUUUAAGGACAAACUAUCUGCUUAAGCUAGAAGAUGGGAUCGAAUAGCAGCAGAAUUGGCGAUCUUCCUAAAAAUCAGUACUUGAAAAAGUUAUCAGGCACGGAAUCCAUCUCUGAGAAUGACCCGUUCUGGAAUCAGCUUCUCUCGUUUUCUUUCCCUGCACCAACUAGCAGACAGAGUUUCACUCUUGUUGCCCAGGCUGGAGUACAGUGGUGUGAUCUUGGCUCACCACAACCUCCGCCUCCCGGGAUUAAGUGAUUCUUCUGCUUCAGCCUCCCAAGUAGCUGAGAUUACAGUACUGAGUUGAAACUCUUGGAGGAAG
This 591-nucleotide small RNA is filed under the name Pongo abelii (Sumatran orangutan). Its description in RNAcentral is "processed transcript". The record is from RNAcentral. Lineage: Eukaryota; Metazoa; Chordata; Mammalia; Primates; Hominidae.